This 367-nucleotide long non-coding RNA is filed under the name Micromonas pusilla. RNAcentral's name for it is "long non-coding RNA (MPUS_LNC000072)". The record is from RNAcentral. Lineage: Eukaryota; Viridiplantae; Chlorophyta; Mamiellophyceae; Mamiellales; Mamiellaceae.
GUUCGACUCACCGUGGAGCAGAAUUUCAUCAUCCCGAACGUCCCGGAGGAUAAAGUCGACGCCCUCCUCGAGGAACCGUUACUGAAGCGUUACACGCCGUUCCCGGGCAAGGUCGUCGCCGGGAUGGUCGCGUGCACGGGACGACAGUUCUGCGGGUUCGCGCAGAUCGAGACGAAGAAGGAGGCGUACGCCGUCGCGGAACACUUGGAGUCGACGUUGGACUUUCCAAACGGCGACCUGCGGAUGAUCUGGACCGGGUGCCCGAACUCGUGCGCGCCCGUGCAAGUUGCGGACAUCGGUCUGAUGGGAUGCCAGAUGAAGAACCCGACCGGGGAGAAGGGCAUGGUCGACGGCGUGAAUAUCUUCC